GAUGAACGCUGGCGGCGUGCCUAACACAUGCAAGUCGAGCGAACAGAUGCGGCGCUUGCUCCUCUGACGUUAGCCGCGGACGGGUGAGUCACACGUGGAUACCCUACCUAUAUGACUGGGAUCACUUCGGGAAACCGGAGCUAAUACCGGAUAAUCUCUUGCACCGCAUGGUUCAAUAGUGAAAGUCGGUUUUGCUGUCACUUCUCGAUGGUUACGAGCCGCAUUAGCUGGUUGGUACGGUAAAGGCUUAUCACGGCAACCAUGCGUAGGCGACCUGAGAGGGUGAUCGGCGGCACGGGAACUGGGACACGGUCCAGGCUCCUACGGGAGGCAGCAGUAUGGAAUGUGCCGCAGUGGGCGAAAGCCUUGCGGAGCAACGCGACGUGAGUUAUGGAGGUCUUCGGAGCGUAAAACUCUGUUAUGGGUGAAGAACAAAUGUGGAAUGAACUAUGCACGUCGUGACGGUACCUAAUCAGAAAGCCACGGCUAACUACGUG
Molecule: ribosomal RNA, 497 nt
Filed under: uncultured bacterium
Lineage: Bacteria
Description: partial 16S ribosomal RNA
Rfam family: Bacterial small subunit ribosomal RNA
Source: RNAcentral